This 1479-nucleotide unclassified non-coding RNA is filed under the name Hevea brasiliensis (rubber tree). The stretch from base 260 to 346 matches the Rfam family "tRNA". The record is from RNAcentral. Lineage: Eukaryota; Viridiplantae; Streptophyta; Magnoliopsida; Malpighiales; Euphorbiaceae.
UGGCGCAAAAGGAUCGGUCCUUCACUUGCUGAUCGUUCGCGAGUUGAACUCGCUCUCUUGCCACGCCUUUCACUCACUCGCUUGAGUCGGACUCAAUCACUCGUUUGGAGGAUCAUUCGUUCUUCACUCUCUUGCCCCCGCAGGGAGCGCAGCAACCAAGGUGCAUAUUAUCAUAUAGAAACAAGCAAGCGUAGCGAAUCACAUAGAGUUGCCCCUACCUGCCAGCGCGCGGAUAGAUAGGGCGGGCGAAGCGCGAAGGGGAUGGAUGUCUGAGCGGUUGAAAGAGUCGGUCUUGAAAACCGAAGUAUUGAUAGGAAUACCGGGGGUUCGAAUCCCUCUCCAUCCGCGAAGUCAUAAGUUCUCUCUUGCGUUAUCUAUAGAUAAGAACGAAUCGGAUCGACUCGACUGAUAUGAUAGAUGGAAUGGGUAGCUUGUGUUAUGAUUUAGUUAGGACUUUGUCUCCCUUUCGUUAUCUUCUGCUCCCCUUGUAUAGGUUGGGGAAGGGCCGGGUGGAUUAUUACCUUUGGGAGCUAAGUCGAAGAUCUCGGUGGUCUUGUGAGUGGUUGAUAAACUACGAUUGCAGUUUUCUUUAGGAAGUCCCAUAGCUGUGAGGCUUAACAGACAAAGAAAACGGUGGAUACUUCCGGGUAGAAGGUGACGACCCUAAUGAAUCGACUAUGAAGAGAAGGGGAUUUGGUGUUGAAAAAGAUUAUCCCUAUUCAGAACGACCGUCGUGGAAAGUGGACCCCGAAUUUUGAAGGUCCGUACGUCGUUAAGAGAGCCUUUUCAGGGGGUGCCCUUAUUUUGACCAACAUGGAUGGAGAUGAACUACCAAACCCCGUGAACUCAGAUGCUGUGAAAAAGUAUUACGCUUGAAAUCCGUGUAUCUCAAUCAGUUGAAUUAAUGAAAACGGUUUUAUCCUUUUUCGCAACCCAUUUUAUUUUCAGAAAGACUGGGAGAGUCUCCUUCCGGAGGCAUUCUCAGCAGGCUAUUAGUUUAGCUCUGUAACAUAGAUACAAGAAUCUGAUUUUGGUGAAGCUGGAAAGGGCGUUUAAUUGUCCCAUAGGAAAGAAGGAAUAAAGGGAAAUAGCAAGAGCUCAUUCGGAUAAAAACCCGAAGAGGCGGUCUAGGUGAGAGCUAAAGCGUUGGGAAAAGGAUACCUUGCCGAGUCGAAAAACCCGAAAAAAAAAGCGCUUCGACCAAACUUGAGAGGUCGGUGAAGCAUCUCCUGGAGAACGAGUUCGAUCUCCCAUUGGUCUUUGGGAGCUAGCAUAUGGGGGCAAAGUUCGACACCACAUGGGAAAAAUCGACAGUAAUCCUGGCACAAGCUGCGCUAUACAUCGUUAGUAUCAUCGCUGGAAGAAAAAGGAAGUUAUUUUUUGAUUAUGUUACUGUUCGACUUUACAUCCUUUGUAUCUUUUGACAUUCCUAACCAUAACAUCAAAUAAACUCCAUGAAAGUUUUUUUUGCAUAAUAAA